GAAGGAGGCGACAGCGCCGGAGCAGAAUGAGCUGCAAUUUAUAGACUGAAAAGACAAAGGGAUUCCUUUUUCACCAAAUCAAAAAACACAUUAUAAUUAAUGGCUGCAGUUGACUAUUACAGGAUGUGGUUUCCUGCAACAUGCCUGAUUUUGAAGAAGGGUGAUCUACACACUGGGAAUGAAGCCACAGAGCAUGUAUGUUACAUGUAGCUGCUGGCUAUAUAUGUCCACGUCAGCCACACACUCCCUUCUGCUCCUCAGAACCUUAAAUUUCUCCUCAUGGCUGGGGAACAGUGAUGUGCUCCAGGGCUCCAAGCAAUGGAUUCCUCAGCAGACAUUGCUCUGUGA
Molecule: small RNA, 348 nt
Filed under: Pan troglodytes (chimpanzee)
Lineage: Eukaryota; Metazoa; Chordata; Mammalia; Primates; Hominidae
Description: processed transcript
Source: RNAcentral